ACACCUCAACUCUUCAUGGUUUUCCAUGAUGAGCUUGGACUUUGGGGGACUUGCUGGCCUACAGUCAGCUCCUCUAAAAUAAAUCAGCUCACCAGUGUUUGGUGGGUAUCGCAGGUGUGAUAACUAUCUACGCUUGUGGCUUUCCACCAAGUAACCUUCAGCAGUGGAGGUUCACUGGAGCUCACAGACGUCUCUCCUCAGUGAGGGACAGCCCUUUGAAU
This 221-nucleotide unclassified non-coding RNA is filed under the name uncultured Tomentella. RNAcentral's name for it is "sequence contains ITS2". Lineage: Eukaryota; Fungi; Basidiomycota; Agaricomycetes; Thelephorales; Thelephoraceae. The record is from RNAcentral.